Molecule: ribosomal RNA, 390 nt
Filed under: Bacillus licheniformis
Lineage: Bacteria; Bacillati; Bacillota; Bacilli; Caryophanales; Bacillaceae
Description: bacterial SSU rRNA
Rfam family: Bacterial small subunit ribosomal RNA
Source: RNAcentral
CGGAGCACGCCGCGUGAGUGAUGAAGGUUUUCGGAUCGUAAAACUCUGUUGUUAGGGAAGAACAAGUACCGUUCGAAUAGGGCGGUACCUUGACGGUACCUAACCAGAAAGCCACGGCUAACUACGUGCCAGCAGCCGCGGUAAUACGUAGGUGGCAAGCGUUGUCCGGAAUUAUUGGGCGUAAAGCGCGCGCAGGCGGUUUCUUAAGUCUGAUGUGAAAGCCCCCGGCUCAACCGGGGAGGGUCAUUGGAAACUGGGGAACUUGAGUGCAGAAGAGGAGAGUGGAAUUCCACGUGUAGCGGUGAAAUGCGUAGAGAUGUGGAGGAACACCAGUGGCGAAGGCGACUCUCUGGUCUGUAACUGACGCUGAGGCGCGAAAGCGUGGGGAGC